GAGAGAGAGGAUGGAAGAAGAAGAGGAAGAAGGCUAUGGAAACCGGUGUUUCUUCUACAGGCAGGAGAGGAGGCAAGGGCGUUAUCUAACAUCCCCCCCUCCUGUUGAUCCGCCGGGCAGCCAGAUCUCCGCCACUCACAUGGGGAGGAAUGAGUCCAGGGGGAUCUCCUCCCAUGGACGACUGGAACACGUCAACCAGGGGUUGUGGAUC
RNAcentral lists this long non-coding RNA (211 nucleotides) under Spirodela polyrhiza (greater duckweed). RNAcentral describes it as "long non-coding RNA (SPOL_LNC001485)". Lineage: Eukaryota; Viridiplantae; Streptophyta; Magnoliopsida; Alismatales; Araceae. The record is from RNAcentral.